UUCUAAGGGCUGUGAAGCCAGACCGGAAGGACUGGUGGAGCGCUUAGAAGUGAGAAUGCCGGUAUGAGUAGCGAAAGAGGGGUGAGAAUCCCCUCCACCGAAUGCCUAAGGUUUCCUGAGGAAGGCUCGUCCGCUCAGGGUUAGUCGGGACCUAAGCCGAGGCCGAAAGGCGUAGGCGAUGGACAACAGGUUGAUAUUCCUGUACCACCUCCUCACCAUUUGAGCAAUGGGGGG
Molecule: ribosomal RNA, 234 nt
Filed under: Xanthomonas citri pv. citri
Lineage: Bacteria; Pseudomonadati; Pseudomonadota; Gammaproteobacteria; Lysobacterales; Lysobacteraceae
Description: partial 23S ribosomal RNA
Rfam family: Bacterial large subunit ribosomal RNA
Source: RNAcentral